UACGAAGGGGGCUAGCGUUGCUCGGAAUGACUGGGCGUAAAGGGCGCGUAGGCGGUUCGUACAGUCAGGCGUGAAAUUCCCGGGCUUAACCUGGGGGCUGCGUUUGAUACGUGCGGGCUUGAGUUCGGAAGAGGGUCGUGGAAGUUCCCAGUGUAGAGGUGAAAUUCGUAGAUAUUGGGAAGAACACCGGUGGCGAAGGCGGCGACCUGGUCCGUUACUGACGCUCAGGCGCGACAGCGUGGGGAUCAAACAGGAGUUAGAAAACCCCGGGUAAGUCC
This 278-nucleotide ribosomal RNA is filed under the name uncultured bacterium. RNAcentral describes it as "partial 16S ribosomal RNA". It matches the Rfam family "Bacterial small subunit ribosomal RNA", at positions 524 to 796 of the family's 1533-position model. The record is from RNAcentral.